RNAcentral lists this ribosomal RNA (301 nucleotides) under uncultured bacterium. RNAcentral's name for it is "partial 16S ribosomal RNA". It matches the Rfam family "Bacterial small subunit ribosomal RNA", at positions 510 to 810 of the family's 1533-position model. The record is from RNAcentral.
AGUAGCCGCGGGAAUACGGAGGAUCCGAGCGUUAUCCGGAAUUAUUGGGUUUAAAGGGUGCGUAGGCGGAUAGAUAAGUCAGUGGUGAAAGACGGUGGCUCAACCAUCGCAGUGCCGUUGAUACUGUUUAUCUUGAAUAUGGAUGAGGUAGGCGGAAUGUGGCAAGUAGCGGUGAAAUGCAUAGAUAUGCCACAGAACACCGAUUGCGAAGGCAGCUUACCAAGGCAAAAUUGACGCUGAGGCACGAAAGCGUGGGGAUCGAACAGGAUUAGAUACCCCCGUAGUCCCUGUCUUUUAUACA